GCAUAUCAAUAAGCGGAGGAAAAGAAACUAACAAGGAUUCCCUUAGUAACGGCGAGUGAACCGGGAAGAGCUCAAAUUUGAAAUCUGGCUGUCUUCGAUAGUCCGAGUUGUAAUCUAUAGAAGCGUUUUCCGUGCUGAACUGUGUAUAAGUCCCUUGGAACAGGGUAUCAAAGAGGGUGACAAUCCCGUACUUUACACAAUCAUCAGUGCUCUGUGAUACGUUCUCUACGAGUCGAGUUGUUUGGGAAUGCAGCUCAAAAUGGGUGGUAAAUUCCAUCUAAAGCUAAAUAUUGGCGAGAGACCGAUAGCGAACAAGUACCGUGAGGGAAAGAUGAAAAGCACUUUGGAAAGAGAGUUAAACAGUACGUGAAAUUGUUAAAAGGGAAACGAUUGAAGUCAGUCGUGUUUAUUGGAUUCAGCCGGUCUUCGGUGUACUUCCUUUAAACGGGUCAACAUCAGUUUUGUCCGGUGGAUAAAGGCAGUAGGAAUGUGGCUCCCUCGGGAGUGUUAUAGCCUAUUGUCACAUACACUGGAGGAGACUGAGGACUGCAGCUCGCCUUUUGGCCGGGGUUCGCCCACGUUCGAGCUUAGGAUGUUGACAUAAUGGCUUUAAACGACCCGUCUUGAAACACGGACC
RNAcentral lists this ribosomal RNA (637 nucleotides) under Apiotrichum laibachii. RNAcentral describes it as "eukaryotic LSU rRNA". It matches the Rfam family "Eukaryotic large subunit ribosomal RNA", at positions 38 to 667 of the family's 3401-position model. Lineage: Eukaryota; Fungi; Basidiomycota; Tremellomycetes; Trichosporonales; Trichosporonaceae. The record is from RNAcentral.